RNAcentral lists this ribosomal RNA (497 nucleotides) under uncultured bacterium. Its description in RNAcentral is "partial 16S ribosomal RNA". It matches the Rfam family "Bacterial small subunit ribosomal RNA", at positions 28 to 507 of the family's 1533-position model. The record is from RNAcentral.
GAUGAACGCUGGCGGCGUGCCUAAUACAUGCAAGUCGAGCGAACAGAUGAGGAGCUUGCUCCUCUGACGGUAGCGGCGGACGGGCGAGUAACACGUGGAUAACCUACUUAUAAGACUGGGAUAACUUCGGGAAACAGGAGCUAAUACUGGAGAAUAUAUUGAACCGCAUGGUGCAAUAGUGAAAGACGGUUUUGCUGUCACUUAGAGAUGGAUCCGCGUCGCAUUAGCUAGUUGGUAAGGUAACGGCUUACCAAGGCAACGAUGCGUAGCUGAGCUGAGAGGAUGAUCAGCCACACUGGAACUGAGACACGGUCCAGACUCCUACGGGAGGCAGCAGUGGGGAAUAUUGCGCAAUGGGCGAAAGCCUGACCGAGCCACACCGCGUGAGUGAUGAAGGUCUUCGGAUCGUAAAGCUCUGUUAUUAGGAAAGAACAAAUGUGUAAGUAACCAUGCACGUCUUGACGGUACCCAAUCAGAAAGCCACGGCUAACUACGUG